This 253-nucleotide ribosomal RNA is filed under the name uncultured bacterium. Its description in RNAcentral is "partial 16S ribosomal RNA". It matches the Rfam family "Bacterial small subunit ribosomal RNA", at positions 524 to 776 of the family's 1533-position model. The record is from RNAcentral.
UACGUAGGGGGCAAGCGUUGUCCGGAAUCAUUGGGCGUAAAGAGCGUGUAGGCGGCCAGAUAAGUCCGCUGUGAAAUCUCGAGGCUCAACUUCGAGCUGUCGGUGGAAACUGUCUGGCUAGAGUCCGGAAGAGGAGAAUGGAAUUCCUGGUGUAGCGGUGAAAUGCGCAGAUAUCAGGAAGAACACCCGUGGCGAAGGCGGUUCUCUGGGGCGGUACUGACGCUGAGACGCGAAAGCGUGGGGAGCGAACAGG